CAGCAUGCCCCGCGGGAGAGCCUGGACGCAGGCGGAGGUCAGCAGCCUCCUGGCGCUGGUGGGAGGCUCAGGGGAGGCCGCCCUGCUCAUGGCCUCCACGUCGCGACCCAACGAGGCGCUGUGGCGGGAGAUCUCCCAGGGGCUGGCAGCGGCCGGCUACGGGCGCAGCGUGGCCCAGUGCCGCUCCAAGUGGAAGGCGCUCAAGCAGGCUUUCCACUCGGAGCGGGAGACGCGCCGGAGAGCAGGACACCACUCUCCCCGCCUGCCCCCGCACUACCGAGCCAUGAAGAGCAUCUGGAAGGCGGCCGGGCGGCCCGUCUUUGGCGAGCGGAGGAUGCCAGACCUGGUGAAGCUGCCCCCUAGGAGACGCAGGUCAGCCCUUGCCACCCGCACUCCAUCCUCACCAGAGCCACCAGGUACCCAUGGGCUCAGGCAGGUAGAGCAGGGCUUGUCCUGGCUGUGGGAUGGCAGGCACCCAGUUACUGAAGCUCUUAUCUGCACCCCCCCACCCUCUUUCUGCAGACCAUGAUGCUGGUGAGGAUGCCCUGGGCACAGUGCUGUCCCCGCUGCUGCAGUGUGCGAAGGAUGAGCCAGAGAGCCGUAAGUACCGGUCUGCCCCGCUGCACCGGGCUGCAUGGCCACGGCUCCAGCCCAAGCCCAUGCCAGCAUGAGGGGAACGGGGAGCUUAGAGGGUCGGGGGGCCCAUCACGAGUGCCUCAGCAGGGAUGCUCACCAAUGGGGGUGUUGGGACUUCUCUCUCCAGAGGCUUUGGCUCCAAACCAGCCCCAGAGCAUGAAGGGAUGGGAAUGGCUGGGACGGGUCAGGAGGGGUUCCCCAGCUCUGACCCACUCUGAGGGCAUGGUGAAGCUGCUGGCUGCCCCAUGGCAGGUUGCGAGGCUCAAGGUCUCAAAGGGACAGUGGCCCUGAUCUGGCCCAGGGGUCUCUCAUGGCUGUGCAGCACUGCAGGGCAUGUGACUCCCCUUCCUUCAGCAGGUCCUGGUCCCCCCUUCCCCAGUAACCCCAUAAGGCUUUGGAUGAGUUAGGACUGGGUGUGAGGGCCAGAGGUGCCUGCAGCUCCCCUGCCCCACAGCCCACCCAGGGGCAGAUCCUGUGCCCCCCUCACUGUGCUCACUCCCCG
This 1138-nucleotide long non-coding RNA is filed under the name Athene cunicularia (burrowing owl). Its description in RNAcentral is "lncRNA (ENSACUG00000013923.1)". The record is from RNAcentral. Lineage: Eukaryota; Metazoa; Chordata; Aves; Strigiformes; Strigidae.